UCCUUUUGAAUUUCAAACUUUUAGAAAUCAUGAACCUAAACCUUUGUUAUUUUUGUAUACAUUCAAACUUUGUCUGAGUUGCUGCAGAAGAGGCCUUAUCUGGAAUCUAAUUCCAUUCAAUCAAUCAUUACAACUGCAUGAAUCUUUAAACUUGAUCCAAAAUUUCACUCCUUUUCAUCAUUUUCCUUUCACCCAGAACCCAUAAAUAUUUACCAGUUAUAAAUGGAAUUUUUCAUGAUUCAACUACUGAUUUCGCCAUUAACAAAGUUCAUCUUAGAACACUUGACCACCCUUUACUGAUAAUCGGCUAACUAGAACUAACACAUGACGAACAUCUUCAUACAAACUUCACUCUUCUCUCAUGGUAUCAUCACUAACACAUUAACUCUUCCAAUAUUACAAUAUUACCGUUAACGAAGUAGUAUAUAAAGCUCCUUCUUUUUUUUUUUUUUUGGUUUACAGAUGAAGAGAAGUGUCAACAUCUUCAUCAGGGUCAGACCCAUCAAAUCUAUUCAUGGUGAAGGCUGG
Molecule: long non-coding RNA, 528 nt
Filed under: Carica papaya (papaya)
Lineage: Eukaryota; Viridiplantae; Streptophyta; Magnoliopsida; Brassicales; Caricaceae
Description: long non-coding RNA (CPAP_LNC000670)
Source: RNAcentral